CGCCUCUGCUCUACGGUCUCACUCCUCCAUUCUCGACGCCGGAGUUCAGUUGUUUCAGUAGCAAUGGCCCCUACCUUUACCAACCUUAGCUCUGGGACUGGUCUCCAGACACUUGAUGACUACUUGUUGACCCGUAGUUACAUUACUGGCUACCAAGCUUCUAAGGAUGAUAUUGCUGUAUACUCAGCACUUUCUGCUGUACCAUCUGCAGAUUAUGUUAAUGUAUCUAGGUGGUAUAAACACAUUGAUGCUCUUCUUAGAAUGAGUGGUAUCUCUGCUGAAGGGCAGGGAGUGACUGUUACCG
Molecule: unclassified non-coding RNA, 304 nt
Filed under: Hevea brasiliensis (rubber tree)
Lineage: Eukaryota; Viridiplantae; Streptophyta; Magnoliopsida; Malpighiales; Euphorbiaceae
Source: RNAcentral